CCAAUCAAACCAGGAGAUAGCUCGUACUCCCCGAAAUGCAUUUAGGUGCAGCGUCGGCUUUGAGUAUCAUGGAGGUAGAGCUACCAAUAGGGCUAGGGGGCUUCACCGCCUACCAACCCCUGAUGAACUCCGAAUGCCAUGAUAUUACACCGGCAGUGAGGCAAUGGGUGCUAAGGUCCUUUGCCAAGAGGGGAACAACCCAGACCAUCAGCUAAGGUCCCUAAAUAUUAACUAAGUUGAUCUAACGAGGUGAGAAUGCAUUGACAGCUAGGAUGUUGGCUUGGAAGCAGCCAUUCAUUUAAAGAGUGCGUAACAGCUCACUAGUCGAGCGUUCUUGCGCGGAAAAUAAUCGGGCAUCAAGUUAAUUACCGAAGCUAUGGAUUCGUCUUCGGACGAGUGGUAGGGGAGCAUUCUAACGACACUGAAGUUUCAGCGCGAGCUGGGAUGGAGUUUUUAGAAAAGAAAAUGUAGGAAUGAGUAACGAUAAAUUAGGUGAGAAACCUAAUCGCCGUAAGACUAAGGUUUCCUCGAUCUAUGUUAAUCAGAUCAGGGUUAGUCGGGUCCUAAGGUGUAGCCGACAGGCGAAGCCGAUGGCAAACGGGUUAAUAUUCCCGUACUUGUAUAUAUUGCGAUGGGGUGACGAAGACGCGUAAGAGCUGCGUACUGACGGAAUAGUACGUUGAAGUCCGUAGACGUUGAUCUGGUAGGCAAAUCCGCCAGUGAGUUGAUGGACGAUAGUACACUGACCCGUAUCGGGGAUGUGAUAAUGCUCCCAAGCAGGCUUCCAAGAAAAACCUCUAAGCUUCAGAUAUAUACAACCCGUACCGUAAACCGACACAGGUAGUCGAGGAGAGUAUCCUAAGGCGCUCGAGUGAUUCAUGGCUAAGGAACUAGGCAAAAUGGUCUCGUAACUUCGGGAGAAGAGACGCUCUAUUUAACUAUGGAGCCGCAGUGAAGAGGCCCAAGCGACUGUUUAGCAAAAACACAGGACUCUGCAAAAUCGAAAGAUGAAGUAUAGGGUCUGACACCUGCCCGGUGCUGGAAGGUUAAGGA
Molecule: ribosomal RNA, 1053 nt
Filed under: Ochromonas sp. CCMP1393
Lineage: Eukaryota; Chrysophyceae; Chromulinales; Chromulinaceae
Description: partial Bacterial large subunit ribosomal RNA
Rfam family: Bacterial large subunit ribosomal RNA
Source: RNAcentral